This 2657-nucleotide ribosomal RNA is filed under the name Histoplasma sp. The record is from RNAcentral. Lineage: Eukaryota; Fungi; Ascomycota; Eurotiomycetes; Onygenales; Ajellomycetaceae.
AUGUAUGAUAUUAUUUUUUUUGAUAUAAUAAAUAUCAAAAUAAGUAUAUAAAGAGAUUAUUACGGAUAUCUGGCUAUAUAUUAAAGAUAGAUAUGAAAAAUUAAUAUCUAAUAUAAAUAUAAUAAUAAACAAAGUGAAUUGAAAUAUCUUAAUAACUUUAGGAAAAGAAAUCAAACGAGAUUUUAUUAUUAGUGUAUACUAAUAUAAAAAAGCUUAUAAGUAAAAUGGAAAAUAUCUGUUUGAAUAAAGGGGAACCUUCCUCUAAAGCUAAAUAUAAUAUAUAAGCGAUAGCGAAUAGUACCGUGAGGUAUAGAUAGAAAUAGUAAUUUUAUAAGCAGCUCAAAAAAAAUUUUAAAUAAAUAAUACGAGCGGACCUUUUGCAUAAUGGGUCAGCAAGUUAAACUUAGAUGCAAGCAAAUAAAAAUUAUUUGCCUAGAUAAACCAAUUAUGAGAAAAUGAUAAGUAUCUAAAUUUAGACCCGAAGGCUAGUGAUCUUACCAUGAUCAGGCUUAAGGCCGAACGGGUUAUCGUUGUAGAGAUAUCCGAUGAAUUGUGGUAAGUUGGUGAAAGACAAAACUGACUAGUAUAGCUGGUUUUCCGCGAAACCUAUGUGAGUAGGUAAUUUAAUUAACAUCUUAGCAGGUACAGAACUAGGAUCUCGGACAAUAUGUAAAUUUUGUACACAUCGGGGGAUCGUGAAGAUUUUAUCGGAGAGUAUUUGCACUCGAAAGGGCAAAGAUGAGUAUUGAAUAAUCGGACAUAGUACGAUAAGGUUGUAUGUCUAAAGGGAAACAGCCCUGAACAAGAGUUAUAAGGUUCCAAAAUUAUUAUUGAGUGAAAUUAAGGAUGUACUUAUCAAAUACAACCAGGAAAUAGGCUUAGAAGCGGCCAUUUUUUGAAGACCUCGUAACAGAGCACUGGUUAAUAAAAUUUUAUUUAGAUAGAUAUGUAUACCGAAAAUUUAACGGAUCUAAAUAAUAUACCGAAACCUUGUUCGUAUAUAUUAAUAUAUAAUAUUAUUUGUUUAAAUAUAUAUAUAUAUAUAUGAGGUAGCGGAACACUGGAUAAAUAUUAGAUUUUGUCUUUUUUAAGACAAAAAAUUAUAUAAGAAUCCAAGAGAGAAUGCUGGCAUGAGUAACGAAAAAGGAUUUAACAUCCUCGCCUUAAGCUUAUGGUAUUUUAUUUAAAUUUCGGUAUCUAAGUAGGAAGUAAAAUAAGUAAAAUGGUAAAUUGUUUGAAAAAAAACUUCUCCAAAUGGAUUCAAAUACGAUGAUAUAAAUAGAUUAGAGAAAAAACUUUUAUAAAGUGUUAAAGGUUCUGGAAAUUAAAUUUAAUCAAAUAAGCAAUUUUAAUUGCUCGGCGAAAUCCGAAACUAUCUAGACCGUACCUAAAUACUAACACAAGUAAGCAAGUAGAGUAUACAAAGGCGUUUGAGUGAAUAAUCAUUAAGGAACUCGGCAAAUUGACUCCGUAACUUCGGGAUAAGGAGGGCCGUUAUUACAGAAAAAUAUUUCUGUUAAAUAAGAGGAAACAUGAAAUAAUGUUGUACGACUGUUUAAUUAAAACAAAUCACUCUGCAAAGAUUAAAAAUCAAAGUAUUGAGUGUGAUGUCUGCCCAAUGUCGGUUGUAUAACUGAGAUACUUAAUUUAAAAGGUUAGGUUUUGAAGGACACUCCGAUCAAUGGCGGCCUUAUCUAUAAGGGUCCUAAGGUAGCGGAAUACCCUGGCCGUUAAAUGCGGUCUUGCAUGAAUGACUUAACGAUACAACAGCUGUCUCGAUGAUUAGCUCAGUGAAAUUGGAAUAGCGGUGCAGAUACCGUUUAACUCUAGGUAGACGAGAGUGCGACUAGUUAAGUGCUUAAUAACAAUGUGGUGAAAACCCACCAGAUAACCCAUUAUCUGAGCUCAGACGGUAUGCAUUAGAAGUAAUUCUUUUGUGUAAAGCCCGUUUAAUUUGGUCAACAAACCUUCCAUCCUUAUAUAAGGAUGGUGAGCUAUAUUACUAUGGAUAAAAUUUUUUUGAAUUCACGUCCGAAGCGUAUUAGAGUAGAAUAUCUUUAGUAAGAAAAAAGUAAAAAGAAUUGUAAUUAACUGUAUAAACAAUUUUUCGUUUGUUUAUUAAUGGGUCUUAUGUUAAACAGGCUAAUUUGCGCAAGAGAGUACAAAUUGAGUGCGCGGUUUGGCACCUCGAUGUCGGCUUAGCUCAUCCACAUGAAUGUAGAAAUCAUGAAGGGUACGACUGUUCGUCGGUUAAAGAGCUACACGAGCUGGGUUUAAUACGUCGUGAGACAGUAUGGUUUCUAUCUUCUAGAGGUAAUUAGAGUCUAAUAUAGAUAGCCCCUUCGUACGAAAGGAGUUGGGUAUGCUGAUCUAUGGUUUACCUGUUGUUUAAUAUUGAUAUUAUGUAUCUUAUACUAUUUUCACUUAAGUAGUAUUGUUUAUUAAGCAUGGCAGGAAAGCUAAGUCAGUUAGAGAUAAGUGCUGAAUGCAUUUAAGCGCGAAGCUUACUAUACUAUACUCUUAUAAACGUAGUAGAACACUACGAAUAAUUUUUUCAUAGGCUUUAGUUGUAAGAAUCUUAAUUGUUUUAAGGCAUAAAGUACUAAUUUUAUAAAAUACUAAUUAUAGCUCAUAUUAAGCCUGGUUAGCAUAAAAGU